Molecule: transfer RNA, 90 nt
Filed under: Varibaculum cambriense
Lineage: Bacteria; Bacillati; Actinomycetota; Actinomycetes; Actinomycetales; Actinomycetaceae
Description: tRNA-Ser
Rfam family: tRNA
About the family: Transfer RNA (tRNA) molecules are approximately 80 nucleotides in length. Their secondary structure includes four short double-helical elements and three loops (D, anti-codon, and T loops).
Source: RNAcentral
GGAGAGUUGUCCGAGUGGCCGAAGGAGACGGUCUUGAAAACCGUUAUACCCGCAAGGGUAUCAAGGGUUCGAAUCCCUUACUCUCCGCCA